AUUUAACCCCAAGCUCAUCGCUAAUUUGCAGCUGUAUUAUAUCAUCAUUUGUCAGUUUUAUUUUCUGUCUGUUGUUACUAGUAGUUUCACUCAUCCUGAUGGGACCUACGAACUAGUCAUUACUGCUCUCAUCUGGAUGUUUGUAGCUCGGACCUUAGUGACAGGGAACGCGGAACGACGCCGCGUACCGCGUUCCGGGAACUUCGUCCCGAAACGAGGAACGGGAACGUCGCGGAACAUAUCAAGAAACGGUCGCGGAACGUAGAUUUUCAAGGUUAGGAACGCGUACCGUGAGGAAGCCGCGCCGCCGCGCUGCCGUCGUCCGACUCCGGUCGCCGCGCUGGGUGAUGCGUCGUGCGGUCGUCGCGCUGGGACGCGCUGGGACGAUGCCGCGCUGGGUGAUGCGUCGUCCGGCGGCCGCGCUGCCGUCGUCCGAGUCCGACCACCGCGUUGGGACCGGCCGCGCGAUGGAAAGGGAAGGGAAGCGCUGGGACCGACCGCGCGAUGGAAGAGGAAGGGAAGCGCGGGGACCGACCGCGCGAUGGAAGAGGAAGGUAAGAGGAAGGGGAAGAGGAAGGGAAGAGGAAGGGGGAGAGGAAUCGAACCGCGUGGAAGAGGAAGGGGAAUCAGCCGCGCUGAAGUCUGGCCGCCCGUGGAAGAGGACCACUCUGUUCGCGCGUCGUCGGUGGAAGAGGAAGCGUAGGGUUAGGGCCGCUCGCCGCGUUGCAGUGGAGAAGAGGAAGAGGAAUAGACUGGAUGCCGGCGGCCGGCCGCUCGCCACGUUGCAGUGGGGGAGACGAACAGGAAUGGACUGGGAGUGGACGCGUUGCAGUGGAAGAGGAAUGGACUGGGUCACUGGGACUUGGACGCGUACAGGCUACGCUAUUAUUUAAAUAGACUUAUAGACCUCCUCACAAUACCGCAGUACAGUGCCACAACAGCCCAACUCAAAGUCUGAAUACCGCAGUCGCAGACAUGGUUUUCGGUUCUUCAAGCAAAAGAAAGCGUGCAGAUGAAAAAGAAGAUGAUGAUGUGCAAGUCAUCCAAGAUGUGCCUGUAGAUAUCCAAGAUGGUGACGCAGACAGCGGUGACGAAGAUGGGGCUACGACUGCGGCUACUGGUAUGAGACAUCCACUACUAGAUGAAAUUAAUAUUAUUGGUGUUCCGAGUGGAAAAAAUGUUGGUGGAACAAAGGAGUGGCAAUGUAAACAUUGCAAGAAAUCGUACAAAGGUAGUUUAACUAGAGUUCGUGUUCAUUUGCUUGGUCCAUUACCUGGUAAAAAGGCACAAAUUGCUCGUUGUAUGUCAUUGCAAAACGAUCCCAACAAGAGCAAAGCUUUGCGGGAAAAGGUGAAAGAAGCUGAUAGUAAAGGAUAUCAUAUGAGAUCAACAUCAGGGACGUCCACUCUGAAUCCGUUGGCAAAAUCGUUUGGAGUAGCCCAAAGAGAAUCUGUCGAUAUGGAAAUUACCAAAUUUUUAUGUGCCAACGGUAUUCCAUUCAAUGUGUUGAGGAGCCCUCAAUUUUCACAAAUGAUAAUGGCAAUAAAAAAUGGUCCAAAAGAUUAUAAAGGUCCGUCGAGUGAAAAGGCAGGGACAACUCUCCUAGAUGCAUGCAAGAGAAGUGUGGAGACCGACUUAGCACCACUUAAAAGUACAUGGUUGACACAAGGUGUUUCGAUUGUGUCCGAUGGAUGGACGGAUAUUAAAAACAAGCCCCUAAUCAAUGUGAUUGCGUCAAACAGUCGAGGUUCAUGUUUCUUAUAUAUAUAUAAAUAAGCUAAGACACUAUGACUUAUCAUUAUCGGGAUCCCAUCAUUAUCAGUUAUAUAUACAUAUAUUAUAUAUUAUGUAUGUGUCAUUGCUUGUUUUAAUUACGCAUCGUUCCCUGUUCCAUUACAAUCGUUCCCUAACUUCGUUCCUAAAUCGUUGGGAACACGUUCCACGCAUCGAAUGAACGUCGAUCAGCUGUAUACCCCUCAACGUUCCAUGUUGCUUUAACAGACGUACCGCGUUCCUCGUUCCCGUUCCUCGUUCCCAACGUUCCGGGAACCUUGUCACUAAGGCUCGGACAGUAAUCUGUGACUUUAUCUGAUAUGCGCGGUUGAUAAUAAGUUCAUGUGCUCUAGGAAUGUGAAUUUCUAUAACUGACUUUGAGUUUAGCAGCUCAACACCAGCAAACCAUGAUAAUCGACAUCUUCUCAGCAAGAUAUACUUGUUUUGAACAUAGAAAACUCCUUUUUGAUGUGUGUUAUGUGCAAAUCAGAUACUGGAAUGAUCAAUAUAUUCAAGAAAAAUAGCUUCACUUAGGUGGGUUCACCAUGUAUCAUUGUUCAACUAGACUUUCCCUGUUGAACCAUUGCUUGUUGGCUGUUGCACACUCAUACUGAGAACUACAGCAGUAUACUGUUGUGCUGACUUACAUAUUCAGUGAUGUCUGUGCAUUAUGUAACCGAAGUGAUGGGAUCUUAGGAUAAGGCCAUGUAUAAAUUGAGUUGUAGAAAUCGAGAAAAAAGCUAGGGGGGUAAGACUCUGC
This is a long non-coding RNA of Zea mays, 2533 nucleotides long. RefSeq lists it as uncharacterized. The record is from RefSeq and is a predicted model, not a curated record. NCBI's taxonomy places the organism in Eukaryota, Viridiplantae, Streptophyta, Magnoliopsida, Poales, Poaceae. The transcript has 2 exons.